CCCAGACAGCCAGGAUGUUGGCUUAGAAGCAGCCAUCAUUUAAAGAAAGCGUAAUAGCUCACUGGUCGAGUCGGCCUGCGCGGAAGAUGUAACGGGGCUAAACCAUGCACCGAAGCUGCGGCAGCGACACUCAGGUGUUGUUGGGUAGGGGAGCGUUCUGUAAGCCUGCGAAGGUGGCCUGUGAGGGUUGCUGGAGGUAUCAGAAGUGCGAAUGCUGACAUAAGUAACGAUAAAGCGGGUGAAAAGCCCGCUCGCCGGAAGACCAAGGGUUCCUGUCCAACGUUAAUCGGGGCAGGGUGAGUCGACCCCUAAGGCGAGGCCGAAAGGCGUAGUCGAUGGGAAACGGGUUAAUAUUCCCGUACUUGGUGUUACUGCGAAGGGGGGACGGAGAAGGCUAUGUUGGCCGGGCGACGGUUGUCCCGGUUUAAGCGUGUAGGUGUGUGUUCCAGGUAAAUCCGGUUCACUUUAACACUGAGGCGUGACGACGAGGCACUACGGUGCUGAAGCAACAAAUGCCCUGCUUCCAGGAAAAGCCUCUAAGCAUCAGGUAACAUCAAAUCGUACCCCAAACCGACACAGGUGGUCAGGUAGAGAAUACCAAGGCGCUUGA
RNAcentral lists this ribosomal RNA (610 nucleotides) under Salmonella enterica subsp. enterica serovar Infantis. RNAcentral's name for it is "partial 23S ribosomal RNA". It matches the Rfam family "Bacterial large subunit ribosomal RNA", at positions 1084 to 1693 of the family's 2925-position model. RNAcentral also lists the same sequence under 2 other names. Lineage: Bacteria; Pseudomonadati; Pseudomonadota; Gammaproteobacteria; Enterobacterales; Enterobacteriaceae. The record is from RNAcentral.